GCCGCCUCGGCCUUAAAAAUAUAGGAAUGGAGUGCGGGGUUCCCCCGGUCUACCAGCUCCUGUUCCGCGCCUGCGAAGAAGGAAGCUUCGAGAACGCCAGGCGGCUGCUGGAGCCGACACCGCGAGACGGAGACGACGAAGAGGAUGAGGAGAAGAAGAAAGAGGAGGCGGAGCGCGGCGAGCAGACGACGGGCCCGGACUUCAGGGCUCCGCAGGUGCCCGUCGACUGCACGGACGACGAUGGCAACUCGGCGCUGCAGUUCGCGGCCGGUCACGGCCACGAGCACCUGGUGCGGUUUCUGCUGAUGAAGGGCGCCUCGGUGGACAGCCGCAACCGCUACGGCUGGACGCCGCUUAUGCAAGCGGCGCGCUUCGGGCACCUCGACGUGGCACGCGUGCUGCUCGAGAACGGCGCCGACGCCAACGCCGCCAACAAGCUGGGCGCCAGCGUGCUGACGGCGGCGGCGCGCGGCGGCCACGUCGGCCUGGCGCUCGCCCUGCUGGAGAGCGGCGCGUGCCCGGAUGCCGUGGGUGGGGGCGGCCAGCAGCUGGCGGGGCACGAGCACGCGCCGGUCGCCCCCGCCUUGACGCCUCUGAUGGUGGCCGCCCAACAUGGCGCCGAGCCGCUGGUCAGGAUGCUGCUGGAGUGGGGGGCUUCCCGCCCCGGAGCCGUGCCUGUCGGCCCCGCCGGCGGCUGGAACGCCCUGAUGCUGGCGGCCCUCAACGGCGAGCUGGCCGUGGUCCAGCAGCUGGUCGAGGGAGGCUCGGACCCCAAUCAGACCAACGUGGGUGGGAUGACCGCCUUCGAGAUCGCCUGCUCCUGCAGGCAGAAGGAGAUCAGAGACUACCUGGAUUCCAAGACCACUACUCGGCCCAAAUCAGAUGAAGAGAAAAGGAGACCAGAUAUAUUUCAUGCAUUAAAACUAGGAAGCUAUCAGUUGGUGAAGGAGAUUCUUGAUGAAGAUGAAUUUCAGGCCAAUGUCACUAAUGCAGAUGGUGCUUCUCCAUUAAUGAUUGCUGCCAUGACAGGUCAACUAGACCUUGUGCAACUUCUGAGUGAGAGGAACUCUGAUAUUGACCAGCAAGAUGGUGUACAUGGAUGGACAGCCUUAAUGCAAGCUACUUAUCAUGGGAGUAAAGAUGUUGUGAAGUACUUGUUGAAUCAAGGAGCAGAUGUCAACCUCCGUGCCAAAAAUGGAGUAACUGCAUUUGAUCUUGUAAUGCUGCUAAAUGAUCCAGAUACAGAACUUGUGCGACUUCUGGCAUCAGUCUGCAUGCAACUAGAUAAAGAGAAGAACAAGCAAAAAUCCAAGACAAUGCCUCGCUCAAAAAGUAAAACAUCCUUAACGAUUCCUGUACCCCCAGAAGACAAAGGGGGAUUAAAGUCUUGGUGGAACAGAAUGUCCAACAGAUUUCGAAAACUGAAGCUAACUAGGACACUCAGACAUGGUUUUUCCACAAAUCGGCUUGCUCCUUUUCUAGAUGAAGCUGAAGUAGGAUUGGAUGCAACAAUGAAAGCUAAUCUGAAGGAUGACUGCAAUCAUUCGGCAGUGAUCAUGUCUACAGCUAAUACUGAUCACUCGGUUUGGGCAUCAAAAAGAAAGGACCGUGAACUUGAUCAAACAAUUGGAGGAAAAGGCGAUGUUCUUCUCUCAACUAUGUUGAGAAAUGGUGCACCAUUCACUCGUCUUCCAAGUGACAAGUUGAAAGCAGUUAUUCCUCCAUUUUUGCCUCCGUCCAACUUUGAACUAUGGAGCUGUGACAGGGCACGAAUAAACAAAGAGGGCAAAUUGGAUCAUAUUGGGCUAUCUGUGCCACGUCGCCUUGCAAAACCCAAUUUCAACAGCAGUGGGAACUCUGACAUUACUUCUGUGAGCAGAAUGGGCAGAUCUGUUAAACUUCCUCCUAUUACAAAUCUUCCGAGGUGCCCAGCUUCUCCCCCAAACUCGGGACAUUUCAGUUAUUCUCCACAUUCCUCUGGUGGAUCUAAUGGAGUGGUUGGCAUCAGUAGACAUUGCAUCAGUGAACCACAUAGCCGCUCAGGAGGAAGUUCAGAUAAUGUCUUGUCACAAAUUGCUGCCCAAAGACGAAAAGCAGCAGGCUUGCCUGAACUAAAAACAAACAGGUCUGAGAUUUUGCCUCACCCAAUCUCAAUCGAAACUAGCCUUCCUGAACUGCCAGUCUCACCAACUGAGAGUAACUGCAUUUUACAGAAAUGUGGGAAACAGCGUCCAUCAUCUUGUACAUCCUCAAAUUCAAAAAGCACCUCUCCUACUCUGACUCCAUCACCGUCUCCUACCCCUAAAAGUCCACAAGGCGAAUCAUCACUGUCCUCGUCUUCACAUCAGCAUUCUAAGAGCAGUGGUGGGUCCAGCAGUGGAACCCUCACAGAUGAAGAUGAAUUAUCCAGUAUCCUAAAAAGACUAUCAUUGGAAAAAUAUCAACCUAUAUUUGAAGAACAGGAGGUGGAUAUGGAAGCAUUCCUAACACUAACUGAUGGUGAUUUGAAGGAGUUGGGUGUAAAGACGGAUGGUUCAAGACAACAGAUCUUGGCUGCAAUCUCAGAGUUAAAUGCUGGAAAGGGACGUGAGAGGCAGAUUCUACAGGAAACUAUUCACAACUUCCAUUCUUCUUUUGGAAGUAGUGCAAGCAAUUCUCGUCAACAGAAUAUCUUGCAGUAACAUUGGAGUUUUGACAACUGCAGAAAACAUCCUCAGAUCAAAGAAAAGGACUUAAAGAUUUAGACACGUGUAUAUAAAACACAAAAUGGCACCAAGCUCCACCACCAUCACCAAUGACUACAAUGCAAGACUUUACUGCAACAGUGUUCAUCUUUCCCUCUUCUAAUUACCCUCCGCUGCUCGACAACAGCUGGUUUCUGUAAUGGAUUCUGACAUCUGUCACCAGCUUGGCUCCACCAUUGCCACCAUUCCUGUCCAAGCUGGAGCCAAAGGCCUGGUCUCAUACCUUCUGCUUUCCCUCCAGACAUUGCUGAAGUCUCUGCGACCACAGUGCCAGUGCCAGCCAUGGAUCUGGGGCUGCAUGGGGCCCAGCCCUAGCCAACUCCCCAGUGGGAAAAAGAACUGUACAAAGACAAUGAAACAGCCAUGCCACCAAAUGAAGAAGAUGUAUAAAAUAAUAUGGAUGCAGCCAGCUCCAUUGCACAGUGCCGACGAGUGCCCAAGCCCUGGGAUGAGAAACCAAACACUCCCAAAGCAAUUGCCGCCAUCUUGAAGAGGCGAUAACUAAUCAAUUCAUUGCAGCAACAGUACACAAAUUAUCAAGUCAGCGCAUUAAAUUAUAAAUCUUAAAUUAUAAAACCAGCAUGUCAAUCAAUAAAAUGGUAGUUGCAAUCUUAAAAGCACAAAAAUGAAUUAGACAGAAUCAGAGUCAUCAAAUCAUAUAACAUGGAAACAAACCCUUCAGUCCAACAGUCCAUGCUAACCAUAAUCUUAAACCAAUCUAGUUCCAUCUGCAUGCACUUGGCCCAUAUCUCUCCAAAAGUUUCUUAUUCAUACAUUUAUUUAGAUAUCUUUUAACAUGUAUCUGCACCAACUUUUACCACUUCCUCUGGAAGUUCAUUCCACACAUAAACCACGGUGCAAAAGAAAAAUCGCCCAUCAUGUCUUUUUUAAAAUCUUCCUCCUCUCACCUUAAAAAUAUGCCCCUUAGCCUUGAAAUCCCCCACCUUAGGGAAAAGCCACCUGCCAUUAUCUAUACCCCUGAUGAUUUUAUAAACCUCUAUAAAGGUUACCAGUCAACCUCAGACUCCAGGGAAAGCCUAUCCUUAUAACUCAAACUAUACAUUCCUGGCAACAUCCUGGUAAAAUCUUCUGAACCCUCUCCAGCU
Molecule: non-coding RNA, 3850 nt
Organism: Chiloscyllium plagiosum (whitespotted bambooshark)
Lineage: Eukaryota; Metazoa; Chordata; Chondrichthyes; Orectolobiformes; Hemiscylliidae
Source: RefSeq, a predicted model, not a curated record